This 10606-nucleotide long non-coding RNA is filed under the name Hordeum vulgare. RNAcentral's name for it is "long non-coding RNA (HVUL_LNC013514)". The stretch from base 1201 to 1325 matches the Rfam family "MIR1120/MIR1122 microRNA precursor family". Lineage: Eukaryota; Viridiplantae; Streptophyta; Magnoliopsida; Poales; Poaceae. The record is from RNAcentral.
CGAUGUAGAGUAGUAACAGCGCACAGCGCAUGCUCGAGAUCGCGGCCCAUUCUUCUUCCCUGGCUUUCCGCAAUCGCUUGAGAUUCUACGGCACCGCACAAGAUCGUGGCGAAGCCCUAGCAUCCAUCCGGCCAGCGCCGUCGCAACGACGACAUACUUGGAUUCAUGGAACGAGUUUGUACGUGGAGCUCUUCCGCGCGGCGCCGCAUAUCCAAAAUUGUAAGGCGCCAUUACACCAUUCCACUUUCCGUUCAACAAUGCUUGAUUCCUCCUAUGUAGACAUCGAUCUAAUCCAGUACAUAUUGCCUACGUAUCCAGAUUUAAAGUAAUGUAGAUGGGCUCAUGGAAACGAUGUUGAUACAAGUAAAGUUUCAGGAUAUGAACAUACAUGGCAACAUCAGAAUCAGAAUGGAACGGGCAGGAGACAACACUAUCUUCUUUCUUGUUGGAUUUCUGUAAGGAAGACCACGGCUUAAAAUGAGUAGGUGUUCAUCUGACUAACUCAUGUUAGUGUUGUUGUGUAUGGUUGGAUCCUUUUCCUAUUCUAUAAUUCUGAACUACACUUACCACACAACCGUGAUUGAUAAACUAUUAAAUCCCGACUGUUGAUUUUUCAAAAAUAAUAGCCCAUUUGCCAUUUGCUACUCACACCGUUCGACCAGACUUAUGUUUGACGUUUGUUCUCCAGCCUGAGGAUAUACCAUAUAUGUAUAUGGCAUCAUCUGACUCCAAGAUUUUCCGUUGCCGGUCCACACACAACCACGUCAAGAGGGUCAGAGGUUGAGUCAUCGAGAGCAGACCAUACCGUACGUGUUCACUGGCUACUAUCAGGACAUAGUUACACAAGGUAUGUCUAUAUGUUUGAUAUGAAUAAUCUUUUUGAUGCACUUCAAAGUGUUUAUUAGUAAGUUUUAAUGUAUACGUUCUUUCCACAAACUCCAAACCGCCACGAGGAAGACCUCCAUGAACAUCUUACGGGGUGUGCCAUCUUCUGAUCUUAGGUUUAGGGUGCCUGCUAGCAAGGUACAGCUCAUAGAUACCAUUGUUGCACCUCUAGUUGACCCCUCCUAAGUUGUAACCUCCCAACCAAUCCUCCCCACUCACACCACCCCCACCCCACUUGUGUACAUGUAAAAUGUGUGUUUCAUAUAUACAUGCAGUAGGAGCUUUUCCUACCGAUUUACACUAAAAAAGAUUUAAUGUAUACUCCCUCCGUCCGGAAAUACUUGUCAUAGAAAUGGAUGUAUUUAUAUGUAUUUUAGUUCUACAUACAUCCAUCUUUAUUCAUUUGUGUGACAAGUAAUUUCGGACGAAGGGAGUACAUGUAUACAUUGUUAAUUACUUUGUUAGUCAUAUUAGGCUGGUCACAAUGGGGUGGAACUUAGCAGGCACAUCACACACUCCAAUACGAGUUUGCUUAUGUGGCACAUAUUUAAUGAAGAGAGAGGUGUUUGUGGUAACUAGCUAAGGCUGGUCACAAUGGAGAGUAACAUAAGGUAGUAACCUACACACUUUUCUAGACUAUGUUCCUACCUCCACAAUGGGGAGUAACAUGUAUGUAUUGUCAUGCAACGAUGCAUUUAUUAGGCUAUAGACUCAUUGUUUCUUGGAGUGUGUGAUGUUCCGGUAACUUAGCUAGUUAUCACAAGCACCUCUCUCUUCAUUAAAUACGUGCCACAUAAGCAAACUCGUAUUGGAGUGUGUGAUGUUCCUGCUAAGUUCCACCCCAUUGUGACCAGCCUAAGUUACCGGAACAUCACACACUCCAAGAAACAAUGAGUCUAUAGCCUAAUAAAUGCAUCGUUGCAUGACAAUACAUACAUGUUACUCCCCAUUGUGGAGGUAGGAACAUAGUCUAGCAAAGUGUGUAGGUUACUACCUUAUGUUACUCCCCAUUGUGACCAGCCUUAAGGGCCUCGGGUUGUAGUUUCGUCCCGGGCCCCUAAAAUCACAGGACCGGUCCUGGUUUUACUGUUCACAUCUGCUGCAUUUGAGCUCAGUACUAGAAGCAUGCUUUCGGAAGCAACACAUCUGUUUAGCAUGAAGCCAAACACAAACUAAGUGAAAGACGUUUUGAGAACUCGGCAACAACCGGUGGCAGCAUAAAUAUACACUCGGGGCGCACCUAAAUUCUCGAUCAUCUUGGUAGAGAUCGAAAGUGGAUGCGUAGUUGACAGAUCAUACACAUACAUGCAUUAUUUGGUUUGUAACUUUUGCUACAAAUUCUAUAUUGGAGAUAAACUAACAACGGAGAUGCUGAGUAGCUGGGCGGCACAGGGACGGGGAUAUGUGCCGCAGCGGCAGGGCUGACCACAAUUGGUGGAGAGCCCCAAUGCUCCUCGAGCGCAGUGCGGAUGAUUGUGACAUCCAAUGCGACACCCACACACUGCGUUUCAGUUCAUAUCAUUUGUUCCCUGUUUAGCGACGAUACUUAUUUUCAAAAAAAGAUAUCUCAAGAAUCUGCGCCUCCAUUGGGAUAUCCCAAGAAUCUGAAACAUAUGGAAAGAAAGAAACAGACGGAUUUUCGAGAACACGAGGGCCUCUCAUGUGGAGGUGGCCAGGAUGAUCCUAGAUUAUCAUAAUUAAUGUAUCAAAAUUUUGCUCACCGCGAGUAAUUCUCAUAGGCCUUUGUUGUUCCUGUCUGCAAAUGGAUUUCCAGUCAUUGUACUCCCUCCGUCCAGGUGUAUAGGGCAUGCGCGUUGUUCUAGGUCGUUAAUUUAACAUGUGAGGGUGUAGUUUCUGAAUAUUUAAUUUUUAUCACAUAUAAUAUAUAUUUAGCUAGUUAAAUUGACAACCUAGAACUACGCGCAUGCCUUAUACACUUGGACGGAGGUAGUAUACUUUUUUCCCUACUUUAAUGAUAUAAGCAGAGUGAUUGUACAACUUUUCCCCCUACUUUAAUGAUAUAAGCAGAGGUCUUGUUUCUGUAAAAAAUUGUUUGUUAUUUUCUCCUCAAACUAUAAUGUCUACAGUGAGUAUGAAUUCUGGUAAUAGAAAUUUGCGCGAUGGCCUUUUUAAAUAAGGAAAAGAGCUGUCGAUUGUUGUUUUGUGCAAACUAGGGGAGCGUUCGGACUCGCUCCGCUCCGCAACUCCACGCUGGAGCAGAGUGGCAUGUAGUGUCAAUCUACGGAGCUUCUGAAAGCCUGCCUCACGCGCUCUGUUCCACGGAGAGCAUCCGAACAGCCCCUAGGAUUCCAACACAAAGCAUGGUUCUUGUAUGCUAUUUGUUUUAAAGUAUGGUUCAUGUAUGUUCUUGUCUCUAACCUUCGAGCUCCUCCGCCUCCUUGGCCAUGCAGUCGAGUGCCUCCCAGCCGGCUUUCGGUACGACCUCGCCGCCUGCUUCCCCAGCUACGACCGGUCAGCUUGCCGCGGCGGUGCUCGCCCUUCGCAGGGCAUGUGUGGCCAUCUGAGGCCACCGCCGCAAGCCCGCGGCGACGACAGCCACUCUGGCACCACUAGCGUCCGCUCCGACCUCGCUGCCCGCUGCCGCAACACCGACGCUUGGCUUGCCCCGGCGGCCCCUGCUCAGCCCACGAAGACGGCGGCCACUACGACACAACCAGCGACUCAUCUGACCUCGCUGCCCGUUGACCCAGCUCCGGCCACUCAGCUCACCGCGGCUGUCCUCGCCCCGGCCGUCCAAGGCCACCUCCGCAAGCCCACGACAACGACGGCCACGUCGGCAUCAUCAGCCAUCGGCGCCUCCGCAUCCGGCUUGCUGUUGCCGCCCCCAGCGUCGGGCUUGGGCCCAACGCCUCCUUUGGUUCUUGGCUCGGGCGGCCACAGCCUGUGUCAUGGUCCCCGUUGGAAGUCGACGGCAACGACGACACCGAUGAAGAAGAGUUGGCCCCUACGAUGCCGCUUGCUAUUAAGGCAUCGGCCCCGCUCGUCCUCACCGCCGCCCAGCUGGGUGUGGAAUGUGUGACAGAGGUGUGCGGGGGGAUGGCAAGAGGUGUUGCCCCGGCGUGGUCCGUGUAGCCCAAUGUUGCCAGCCCCGACAAUGGCUCCCCGUCCCAUACCUGCUUGGAUGCAUGGCCGGUGUUGUAGGUGCCUCAUUCGUGGGCACCAUGCGCUGAGUGUAGAGACCCGUUUCGGUGCUCCCGUUGCUUGGAGAACGAUCAUCAUGCGCGUGGAUGUCGAAAUCCAUGGCGUCCUCUAUGCUCGUUGUCAUGCCUUGCCGUGGAGCCAAUUCUGGAUACUGUGCAUUGUCCCACUCCAGUUUCAUGUGAGGGUCCGAUGAAAUCCACGCCACCAUCCAAUGCGUUUCGUCAUGGGUCUUGGGCGCUUGUUGUCUCUGCUUCAGUUGACUCAGCAAUCCAACCCGAUGUGCGGUUUGCUUUGGUUGAUCAUACCAUGCAGCUGGAGGAUUGGAUGGUGCGGGUUGAGAGCUUUCUAGAGAGGGUGGAGGCGGCUCUGGACAGGCUCUCCUUUGGGACAGCUAUGUUGUCGACCACUCUGACGUCAUGCCCUCCUGGUGUGGCCGGUGUUGCCUCCACGGAUGAAAGGGAGCCAAGAGCUAUAUGGAUGUUUCUCUCCUCGUGUCGAGGGCAUUGCGUCGCCAAUGUCGACCUUGUCUCCUGUGCUGCCUACCAUUGAGGCCGAGCCCAUCGGCGUGCUCGAGGCUCCGAUUUGACAGAUCAUGCCUGACCUACAGGAGAUAUGUCUAAGACCUGUUUUGCCUUUGGCUAAGGACGCUUGGAGGUGGACUCAUUAGUGACCUCGUGUGAGGGGCAUGCUUCGCCUAUGUCAUGUGAACAAGGGGAGGUGCCUAAGUCAAUUGUGUCUGUGGUUUCUGCGGGCGACGUUGUCGUCUUAGUUGUUUUCGUGGCUGAUGAUGUUAAUUCAGAUGGUAUUUGGCGCCUGGCCCUUUGGAUCCUAGCCAGAAAAUUGAUGUCAAGGAGUGUGGUGACUUGGACGUUGCAAUCCCUUGCUCGCUUAAGUCCGUUGGGUGUCAUGCAUCAACCAUCCUACCUCUCCAUGUCAUGGAGCACAGAGUUUUGGAAGUUGUUGCCCUUCCCUCAUCUACGACCAUCGAGCAUGUGAUGCUUGUGACUGGCAUGAUCAUUGAGCCAAGUGUGUUGGCACCUACUUCAAAUCCAAAUGCUCUCUUCGCGAAGGAACUUUGUGAGUUGCUGGCCAGUGUGGAGGUUGCUAGAUCUGGUUUGGGCAGGUCGAUUGUUUGCCUCUUGACGGGCACGCCAGUAAGAGGCAAACAAAAGAAGAUAGGCAAAAGAAAGGGUGACGCCACAAGCAAGGCGUCUUUCGGUGUUUGAUGGAUGACCUUCACUCUCUUGGCCCGUCCUUUUGGUUGGGUUCUCGUUGUGGUUCGAGAGGUGCCUGUUGUCUUGUGUCGAGGUGUCCUUAUCGGUGUCGUUGUUGCCGUCGGGGUUCAUGGAGGCUGUGUAUUUGGAGAGUACGACGGGGGUCGCAUGUGUGGUUGUAGGUUUUAUUACCGUGUGAGUAGUUAGUCCGUGCUCCGUUUGUAUUGGUUUUUGCCCGAUUUUCUGUAAAUUAACUGGGCAAUUCUUUUCUUCUUAAUUAGUCGAUUAGGCAAAACUUUUGUCUCUGUUUUGAAAAACAAAUUCAGACUUUUGCCCUAACAUUAUUAAUAAAGUAAUCAUCACGUCCAUAUAACAAGCAAGUGUCGCACCGAAAAUAAAAAAAGCCUGCUAGGCCUCAGCACAAAAAUGUCAAAAAAGGGAACAAAAGACCACCAAGUGUUCGGUACCUGAGGAGAUUUGUGGCGAAGCAAGAUGGCGGGCUGCCGCAGUCAAGGUGUCAACAAUGUGGCCAAGCGGUUCAUGGUCCUGCUGCCUAGAAAGCGUGGGCGAGUGUUGUAAAAACUAGAUGAUGCCCCGACGCGUUGCUGCAGGAAACUUGCUAAAAAAAUCAUGAGUUACUAAAAAACAUCUAUAACUUAUGGACAGCGAAUGUAAGCUUAUACAAAUGAAAAUGAAAUAUAAAGUAUAUAAAAAAUAAAAAAAUGCAGUAAAAAGAAUGUCAUUUUUAACAUAAAUGUGAAUGUAAACUACAUAUGUAUGAUACAUGCGACUAACACUUCUAUUGUCAAUUCAAAAUCUAAUGCAAAAAUGAACUUAAGAGUAACAUGUAUGAAUUAAUGAUGUGAUGCUUGCAUGCAUAGAAUAAUAAAAAAACAAUGUAAUUUAUAGCUUACAUGCAUGAUUUAUUUACGUGGCAUACUUGCAUGUCGAGGAAAAAUAGCUAGUGGGUUCUAGCUAUUUAAAAAUAAAAGAUGUAGACUAUUUGAAGUUUGAGUCAAAAGCCCGCCUAAAAAAACCCGCUCUAUAAUGAUCAUCUUGCUACACGUUAUCCACAAGGUCUAAGCUAGCGUUGCAGACACGUUUCUUCCUCCCGAUCUGGUUGGCACACGUUUUUAGGAACCCGAUGAGGUCCUGGGCCUCACAGUCGGGCAUUAGAGCCUCACGGACAAAGUUCCAUACAACUUUCGAUGUUGUGCACGAAAAGAAGAUGUAUGUCCUUUUCUUCGAAACAACACAAAGGAAAAAAAAAACAUCAUAUCCGAGGCCGUGCCACUUGAUCACCUCCAUCCGAGAGCUAUUUUUUCUUUAAUAUUGCAUUUUUUAUUCUUUUUGAAAAAUAAUGCACCGAUUCAAAAAUUUUAAAAAAUAAGCCAGCCUCGGCCACUGCGAAGCCGAUUGGAGGCUGUCGGCUCUGGUGUGGCCGACAGGAAGCCAGUCGGCCUAGGCCCGGCCGAUUAGUGGCUCUCAGCCACGUGGCGGCCGACUAGUGGCCAGGCCACGUCGAUUGCCCUGUCGGCUCUGCCUGUCGGCCCUGGCGAAGCCGAUAAGGCUAUCGGCCUAGGCGUGGCAGACUAGUGGCCACUAGCCAGCCCGAGGCAGCCCCUUCCCCCUCUCAUUCUUCCUCCUUCAUCUUUCUUCCUUCUCCCUUCUCCCAUUCUACCUUAUCUCCUUUCUCUCUUUCUCCUCCUUCCUUCUCCCACCACACAAAAGAUCUUCCAUUUCCACGUUUUGAACCGUACUUUUAUUGUGUAAGGAGGAGGGCAUCCAAACUAUCCGUCUCAUUCGCGAUGGGGUAGUUUGUGGUGCUUGUUUUGAAGCUAAUUUUGGUGGUGGUGGUGGAGGUUGAGGUGGAGAUGUAGUGGUGGUGGUGGUGGUGGUGGUGGUGUGGGUGAAGUUGGUUGUUUUGGUGGAGUUGGAGGUGGUGGUGUGGGAUUAUUCUUGGUGUUCGUCAAGAGUCGUUCGUCGUUCAUCGUUUCUGCGCACGUUUCAAGGGUAAAAUAUUUUUAUAGAUUAGUGUAUUAAGUAGUUUAUAAACUUUUAGGUGCUCCAGUAGAUUAGUAGAAAUUUAGUUGCUUAACUAGUUUUAGGUGGUCCGGUAGAUUAGUAUAAAUUUAGCUGUUUAACUAGUUUUAGGUGCUCCGGUAGAUUAGUAUAAAUUUAGAUGUUUAACUAGUUUUAGGUGGUCCGGUAGAUUAGUAUAAAUUUAGUUUAGUGAAUGAAGUAUUUUAAUGAUUUUUAGGUUCUCCGAUAGAUUUGGAAAAUAUAUUUCGGUUUGUCGUUCUUCUAAUUUUUUUCCUUGUUGAAUAAUAUGUUAGGUCAGCAGAGAUGUCUGAUUUAGUGACGUUAUGUUUGCACUAUGGUCGUGGUACCGUUCAAACAAAUGAGAUGGGAGCUGAUCUUAGUGAAUUUCAGUACACACAGGUGCAGGUGUCCUCCCUUAAAACAUGGUAUGUUAGUCAGUUGACAGAAUGUCUUGCGCGAUGUUUAGGGUUCAAUACUAAAACACACACCGUCGGUGUUCAUGCAUUAUAGACCCGGUCCACUGGUAAUAUUUUCUGGUAUUUGAAGCAUAUAGAGCGGGACGACCAGUGGGUGCGCUUGUUACAAUCUUGCGAGCGUAGGGGAUGUCAUCCUGUGGCCUUACUGCUCCCCGUGCUAAAGCCGGUGACUGAACCUGAAGUGGAACGUAGCUAUGAAUAUGGUGAGAGCAGUGUAGGCAUGCAUGAUUCACAGUCAAUUCAUGCGUCCCAUGCUGGGGAUGAUGUUUACGAAGCAGGCCAAAGUAGUCAGGCAGAAGGGGGACAUGCAGAUGAUUAUCUCAGCGGUGAGGCGGAUGCCGACGAGAUAGAUGGGCACAUGCAAAACGAGAUGCAUGAAGAAGAUAUAGCGGGUGAUAUUUCCGAUGAAUUCGCAAAUCAGAUGAAGAAGAGCACGCACAAGAAGUGUCGAUUCCUGCAUCAUGGAAUCAGGACUUCUCAUCUGCAAUGUUGGUGAACGACGGUCAUGAUUCUGCCUGGCAGUAUCACCAGAACAACAUUGCAACAGGUGCCCUCUACCCGAACAAACAAGCUCUGAAGGAUGCCAUCCUUAAUUGGGCAAUGUCCACUCAAAGGGUAUUUGUAGCUCAAGUUUCUUGUCCGGAUAAGUUGACAAUGGUUUGCAGAAAUCAGGGUUGUCCCGCAAGGGUGCAUGGAUAUCUCCCUAAGUACGACACAAGUUGGGUCAUAAGUGACUUAGUUAGUCAUAAUUGUGUUAUUCCAUGCAUCCCUCAAGAUCAUCCCAACCUUACUUCCACUGUGAUUGCUCGCUUGCUUUACAGCGAGAUUGUGAAGUGCAAGGUGAUGGAAGUGAAGGCUAUCCAGAAAAAAGUCUUCGUCAGGUUAAAGUACAACAUAUCAUAUGGCAAGGCUUGGAGGGCUAAGCAGAAGGCACUGGAGACCAGAUUUGGUUCAUAUUUUGAUGCAUAUGACUCUGUUGUUCGGCUCAUGAGACACUGCAGAACCGGAAUCCUGGCACGUAUGUUGACAUCCAAGAGUUGUACCUGCCAGAGUUCCCAACGGUUAGGGUGUUGCAUCGGUUGUUCUUCUCUUUCGGUGCGUGCAUUGAAGCUUUCAGACAUUGUCGACCGGUGAUAUGUGUUGAUGGCACAUUUCUCACUGGCAAGUACAAGUGUCAGAUCCUCACAGCCAUAGGUCAAGAUGGGCAAAAUCAAGUCGUCCCACUUGCAUUUGCUUUUGUGGAGAGCGAGAACAUCGAGAGUUGGACAUGGUUCUUCAGGCAGUUGAAAAUAGGUGUUGUGCAAGAUAAGCAGAAUGUGUGCAUCCUUCAUGAUAGGCAUGCAGGUAUACUCAGCGCGAUCAAGACAUUGUCAAACCCUACUCCCGGUGAACAAACUCCUUGGUAGGACAUUCAGAGUCGUUGGUGCAUGCGCCAUCUAGGGGCAAAUUUCUUCUCGCGGUUUAGAAAUAAGAAUCUCAUGAAUCUAUUCAAGAAACUCUGCAAGCAGAACCAACAAUGGAAAUAUGAGCUGAUACGUAACAGACUAAAUGGUUGCACACACAGACAUGUUAGGGACAGGAGAGCUGUAAGAGAUGCUGCUGUCAGGGCACAUGUUGAAGCAGUAGCUGCACAAUUAGCAACUGGAUCUGCUACCGUGGAGGAAGAGCCGGUUGGGCUUUGUGACUUGCGAGGAUUUGAUCCUCCUGGUACAAGGAGAAGGCUAGCGAGGACGAUUAAAACCUUUGAUCAGUGGAUAGAGAAUGAGCCAUUGGAGAGGUGGUCUCUGUUGCAUGACACACAUGGAACCAGGUACGGUGUCAUGACUACCAACCUGGCUGAAACAUAUAAUUUUAUCCUCAGAGGAAACAGAGCUUUGCCACUUACAGCGAUCCUUGAGGGCACUUUCUAUGGCACAGUGAAGUAUUUCAGGGAAAGACGUCAAAUUGUUGCGGAGCAUAUGACAAACAAUCCGAACACACGUUACUGUGAAAGGGUUAUGAAGUACAUGGCUGAAAAGAUGAAGAAAGCCCGGUCACACAGUGUUGUCGCCAUUGGAAAUCUAGAGCGAAGGUUCGAGGUUCGCUUAGCUAACAACAAAUUCGGAUGUGCAAAUGAGAUGAGAACACAUGAGGUGAAAAUUGGUAAUGAAUUGUGGCCAACGUGCGAAUGCACAUGCAACAAACCAAAGUUGCUUCACCUACCUUGCUCGCAUGUACUUGCUGCUUGCGGGCUCAUAGGUCUUGACGCAAUCUCUUUUGUGUCUCCAUAUUUUCUCAAAGAGGCUGUCCUCAAUACCUGGACAGGUGAGUUGAUGGGUUUCCGAUCAAUGGGUAACUUCAACACUGUUGAGCCUCCUCAAAGGCGAUACAUUCCACAUCCUGCGCAUAUGCGUACAAGUAGAGGGAGGCGGCAGAGUCAGCGCAUCCGGAAUGACAUGGAUGAAUCUGAGGCUGGCGGGCGCAUCGUGCAAUGCAUUCUAUGUAAUGAAUUUGGGCAUAGGGAUCCUGAUUGUCCCACCUUCGUCACUGCAAGGGGCACUAGGCGUGGACGAGGCAGCCGAGGAAGAAGAGGAGGAAGAGGGAGGGCAAGAGGAGGAGGAAGAGUUUAAAAUUUAUGUAAUAGCACUACAUUUAAGUUUGUACUAGCACUAUGUUUUAACUUUGGAUUAUCACUAUGUUUUAAGUUUGUACUAUCACUAUUUUUGAAGUUUGGACUACCACUAUGUUUUUAGUUUGUAUUAACACUAUGUUUUAAUUUUAUACUAUGUGUUGCACUACGUUUUGUAUUGUAUAGCAAUGGAGGGAAUGUAUCUUCUUAAUCCGGAC